Neofelis nebulosa (Clouded leopard) is the source of this 352-nucleotide long non-coding RNA. RefSeq lists it as uncharacterized. The record is from RefSeq and is a predicted model, not a curated record. NCBI's taxonomy places the organism in Eukaryota, Metazoa, Chordata, Mammalia, Carnivora, Felidae. The transcript has 3 exons.
CUCUGGCCUGCCGGGUAGGCGGAGGAAGACUCCAUUCCGCCCUGAGCUGAGCUGGGCGGGUCUGGGCGUUGGCGGGCGGUACCCGCCGGGGCGGAUUUCUUGGUUGGGUCGUUGAAAUAGGAGUCAGCGUCCCCUGAGGAACCUGUCAGUCAGAGCAGCACCUCUGGAUUUCCUCCCGGGACGUUGAAUCCUCUCACACUCGUUCUGUCCCGAGUUUUUUUCUUUGGAAAAAAUGCAAAGAAAGCCUUUCAUUCACCACGUUGGAGCAGCAGCCGAGCUUCGCUGGAAAAGAGAGUAUUAAUUUAUUCUUCUAAUGAUCUAGGCACAAAGAAACUCAAUAAAAACUCCCUGG